CGACGUCAAACGUCUCUGUUUCUUACUCUCCAGCGAAGUCGAGUUUUCACUGCAGUUCCGGUGACAAACUACCUCUAAAUGGCGAUGGACGACUUUCAGCUUCGAAGAGAUCCAGCCAUCAGGUAAUGAGACCGAAUGAUGCUGAGACCUGAAAAAUGAUAAGCUUCAAACAUCGAUGUACAAUGUCCGGACGAAUUUCAUCUCCAAAGACAUCUAGCCAUCAAGUGAUGAAACCUAAUGAUGUUGAGACCUGAAAAAUGAUUAGCUUCAAACAUCGGAGUACAGAUGUGGUGAAUGAACUGUUCUCUUCCUUAAAAAAGGACGACUUUCAUCUCCAAAGACAUCUAGCCAUCAAGUGAUGAGACCUAAUGAUGCUGACACCUGAAAAAUAAUAAGCUUCAAACACGGACAUACAGAUAUGCUGAAUGAACUGUUCUCUCCCUUAAAAAAAAGGUGGACUUUCAUCUCCGAAGACAUCUAGCCAUCAGUUGAUGAGACCUUAUGAUGCUGAGACAGCACCUAAAAAUUGAUAAGCUUCAAACAUCGAUGUAUCUGGUAGAUCUCAACUGUUCUCUCCCUUUAAAAAAGGUCGACUUUCAUCUCUGAAGAUAUCUAGCCAUCAAGUGAUGAGACCUAAUGAUGCUGAGACAACACCUGAAAAAUGAUAAGCUUCAAACAUUGGUGAGCAGUAUCUGGUAAUUCAACUGUUCUCGCCUUUAGAAAAAGCUCUCAUCUCCAAGAGAUCCAGCCAUCAAGUGAUGAGACCUAAUGAUGCCGAGACCUGCAAAAGCUUAGCUUCAAACAUCGAUGGACAGUAUCGGGUAAAUGAACUGCCUUCUCCCUUAAAACAGGUGUGCCAUCUGUUGAUGAUACCAAGCUGUUGACGAGAAAGGGAUUUCACCAGUCUACCAGCUCUGUGAGGUUUACUACGGAACAGAGGUAUAUUCAAAACCUGUGGGUUUCAUUACCCAUGUUUUACACUAACAUCAAAAAGUGGGCUGUUUUUGCAGCACUAUACAAGCGCCACCCCUACGCCACAUGCCACAACAUUCUGGGGACUUCAUGCAGGCACCAGCCUAACCCAGAUGAAUGGUUGACCCUACAGAUUAAUUACAGACAUGAACAUUGAAAACAUGUUUUUAUUAACACCAUUUGUUUUAUAUAAAAGUCAUCGUUUAAAAUUCCAUUUAUUAAAUUAUUGAACUAUUCCAUGUAACUAGUAUUAAAGGCAGUGGACACUAUUGGUAAUUACUCAAAAUAAUUAUUAGCAUAAGAUCGUUCUUGGUGACGAG
This is a long non-coding RNA of Asterias rubens (European starfish), 1292 nucleotides long. RefSeq lists it as uncharacterized. The transcript has 8 exons. The record is from RefSeq and is a predicted model, not a curated record. NCBI's taxonomy places the organism in Eukaryota, Metazoa, Echinodermata, Asteroidea, Forcipulatida, Asteriidae.